UCAUAAUUACAAUUAUAAGCC
This 21-nucleotide microRNA is filed under the name Solanum tuberosum (potato). RNAcentral describes it as "stu-miR8040-5p". The record is from miRBase by way of RNAcentral. Lineage: Eukaryota; Viridiplantae; Streptophyta; Magnoliopsida; Solanales; Solanaceae.